Molecule: long non-coding RNA, 620 nt
Organism: Panicum virgatum (switchgrass)
Lineage: Eukaryota; Viridiplantae; Streptophyta; Magnoliopsida; Poales; Poaceae
Exons: 3
Source: RefSeq, a predicted model, not a curated record
CCGCAAGCAAGCCCUCCUCUUCGUCGGCGGCCGCCACCUCCACUCCCAAACUGCCGCGCCGCCGCUGUCCCGGCCAACUUCCUCCUCCCGAGGCGGCGGUCGCCACCCGGCGGGCGAUGCAGGCGAAGAAGCUGACGCUGCUGCAGACGGUAGCGGCCGCGGGAGUCUUCUCCGCCGUCUCCUGCUGGUAUGGCUUCAUGUUUGGAAGGGAGUCCGCGCGGCGAGAGCUUGGUGGCAUCAUAGACGACCUCCGCAAGUCCACCACCACCUCGACCACUUCCUCUGAACCCGAUGCUAAUUCCAAGCCAUAGUAUGAUCCAGGUCUGCAGUGCCAAGAACAAAAUUGUGUGUUCAUCAUAAUGAUCUGGUUGGCAAUUAGAAGUGUUUGCCAAGGAGAAGGAUUGUAAGAUGCAGCUAUACUUAUGUUUGGUGGGUUUUUGUUUUACUCAGGCCGCAUUUUGAAUUUAAAGAAAUGGAAGAUGAUGUCGCUGGAUUUGUGGCGAGAAUACCCGUUCUUUCCCUUAUUAACAAUAUAUUGCGCAGAUGUCUUCAGGUAUAGCAGAAUUGCUGAUAUGUGAUUAUUAGUUCAUUCACGUUGUUAGUUUAUUGAGUUCAUAUCA